CUAUGCGCCUUGCCAGCCCGCUCAGGUGUGCCAGCCGCCGCGGUAAUACAGAGGUCUCAAGCGUUGUUCGGAAUCACUGGGCGUAAAGCGUGCGUAGGCGGUUUCGUAAGUCGUGUGUGAAAGGCGGGGCUCAACCCCCCGGACCUGCACAUGAUACUGCGAGACUAGAGUAAUGGAGGGGGAACCGGAAUUCUCGGUGUAGCAGUGAAAUGCGUAGAUAUCGAGAGGAACACUCGUGGCGAAGGCGGGUUCCUGGACAUUAACUGACGCUGAGGCACGAAGGCCAGGGGAGCGAAAGGG
This 300-nucleotide ribosomal RNA is filed under the name uncultured bacterium. Its description in RNAcentral is "bacterial SSU rRNA". It matches the Rfam family "Bacterial small subunit ribosomal RNA", at positions 475 to 776 of the family's 1533-position model. The record is from RNAcentral.